This is an RNA transcript of Eriocheir sinensis (Chinese mitten crab), 1142 nucleotides long. RefSeq lists it as uncharacterized. The transcript is spliced from 4 exons. The record is from RefSeq and is a predicted model, not a curated record. NCBI's taxonomy places the organism in Eukaryota, Metazoa, Arthropoda, Malacostraca, Decapoda, Varunidae.
CAAGUUCUAAGGUUGUCGUGUAUUAAAGUUCCAACACUAUGAUGACGUCACGGCCUCCAUUUUCCCUGUCGUCUGUGAAGGCUGCCGAGACAGCGCUGUAUUUUUCUUGUUUUUUUAGGUUAUUAUAAAGUGCCCGGAAGCGCCAUGCUGUGGGAAGACAUAAGAAGAAGAGGAGGAAGAACAAGAGGAGGAGGAGGAGGAGGAUGAAGGGGACACACAGGAAUCAAAUGGCCAAGCAGUGCAGAGGAGAAGGAGGAGGAAGAAGAAGAGGAGGAUCUACCAAGGACAACCUCUGCUGCUCCGGGUAUCAACUCCUGCACUCCUGGGACUGGCAUAACAUCUGCAUGCCCUUGUAACAACUCACUCUGCUUCUGCUAUUCAUAACACCCCGUUCUGCGUCUGCUGUCGUAACAGGGCAUGGCUUCUGUAUACUAACUCCUGCUCGCAUAACCCGCAUGGAUUUACACUUCUCUCUCUGCUUCUGGCUUUCGUACCUAUCAACACAUUCUGCGCCUUCCUUCGUAACUAAUCCCACGGCUUCUCUGCAUGACAACUCCAGCUGCUUAUGGCAAAAUUUCGCAUAACAGCUACUCCUGCUUACGUAUGACAAUUCUCUCUGGCUUCCAUAACAGCACGUAUGGCUUUUGCAUGUGAACGCAUUUCAUUUCUGCUGCACACUAACCCACACUGCUGGUAUGAGUAUCCUAACGACCUAACCCAUUCUGUAAGCUGCCGCCCAGUGCUUCAGGUGACCCCUAACAAGCCUGUCGGAUCGGCGUCUAGCGAGGGAGGUUCCGUCAGGUUCCGUUCCCUGCUAGAGCUGUCUCCCUUCACCUUAAAAAAAAUAGUUUGACAUAAUUUGAGAGCAGCAGUACAGGCCAGGUAUCAGAGAGGGGUUCAGGCCUAUAUGGGGACACCUCUGUUAGGCUUGUACCUCAAUAAAUAACUAGAAAAAAGUUGGAAAGUGUUAAACAAUGACCAUACGUAACCUAGUCAUGUGUGAAUCCUGACUAUGGAGGGAGAUUAUCCUCAAACACGUACGGUUAUAUAUAUAUACAUGUCUUUUACCCACCCAUGCGUGCAGUACGGGUGGUGAACUCUGACCUCUAUGAAAUAAAUAUACGUAACAGGAAAAAAAUAAA